CCUGGCGACCAUAGAGCACUGGAACCACCUGAUCCAUUCCGAACUCAGUAGUGAAACGGUGCAUCGCCGAUGGUAGUGUGGGGAUUCCCCAUGUGAGAGUAGGUCAUCGCCAGGC
This 115-nucleotide ribosomal RNA is filed under the name Desulfobulbaceae bacterium. Lineage: Bacteria; Pseudomonadati; Thermodesulfobacteriota; Desulfobulbia; Desulfobulbales; Desulfobulbaceae. The record is from RNAcentral.